CCUGUCAGGGGUGGCUGGCUGACGCUGGUGACUCAUUUGUGACUCACAGGUCUACUUUCCCCGUUUGCUACAAGUUUUCAAAUUAGGUCCUGGGAAAAGAUAUAUCAGCUUAUUGACCUGAGAUGCUUUUCUGAAACUCUCCACAACAGGAUUCUCACCUUCCUGUGUUGUUAUUAAAAAAUUUUUAAAACAAGACAACAAAAUGACAUUCCAUUAUCAGAUAUAUCUGAAACCAGUAACGUCCUUGGACUCAUCCUUGGACUCAUCCUUGGACUCUGCUCAGAAUGUGAUAGGACAGUGUGCCAAGGUGCACUGCAUCUAUUACCUCACUGGAUCCUCAUGCAAACUCAGAGGCAGGCAGCAACUCCAUUUAUAGACGAGAAAGAUGAACCCUCCAAAUUAUCUACCCUGGUUUCAAGUAGGCAGUUCACAACUCUGCACAUCUCCAGGUGAAUCACCUAUUUUCUUCUCUCUGGAUUUCUAUGUGCUGGGCAUAAAGAUUACUUCAAUCAAAAUGCAGUCAAUGCUGAGCCUCCCUUCAAAAACUGGAAAAGAAGAAACAUAACGAAAAAUAAAUCUCUGCAACACAAGAUAUAUGCUUCAGAAAAAAGAGAGAAAGGAUCAGAAAAACAGAAACAGAA
Non-coding RNA from Leptonychotes weddellii (Weddell seal), 641 nucleotides. Lineage: Eukaryota; Metazoa; Chordata; Mammalia; Carnivora; Phocidae. The record is from RefSeq and is a predicted model, not a curated record.